Bombus pascuorum is the source of this 595-nucleotide long non-coding RNA. RefSeq lists it as uncharacterized. Lineage: Eukaryota; Metazoa; Arthropoda; Insecta; Hymenoptera; Apidae. The transcript is spliced from 3 exons. The record is from RefSeq and is a predicted model, not a curated record.
GAGUUAUCUAUUUCGAUUCUCGAAAGUACGAACGGUAGUUUCGUGAAAAGUGCAUAGUGCAAAUUCUCUGUGAAAAAUUGUGAUAAUCAAGAAUAACUUCGAAGUCGGAUGCUGUAAAAUGUACGACGGAAGCGGCGAACGAACGAGGUCGCAACGAGAAACGCCUCGUCUCACCCUCCUUUCGCCUCUCCUAGUCUUUUCGACGGUGAUGUUCCGGGGUAGGUUGGGCCCCGGUGCUUCGAAGAAUACGACGCGCAUCAGGAACCGCAGCCAAUUUCAAUAUUUGAGGAAACUCGGCUGACAGGAGUUCCGCAAAAUUUGCAGACGAUCUUCGUGGGAAGCUGUGCACCGAAGACAAACAGCCAUACACAAGAAUAACAUCUUUCGCGUUCCGCUAAUCACAACACUUGGUGCUGCCUGUACACGGACGUGGAGACGACGAUGGAAAAACAUAGCGCGGUCGUGGUUCCGAUGGAAAAAGUACCGCUUCUAUCGGCGGGUUAAUGAAGUGGCCUGGGCGCGACAAUUGUUUUUGUUCAAAACAUACGAACGUAAUUACAAAUAAAAAUCCAUACUAUUUUAAUUUUUAUCUAUU